AGUGAACGCUGGCGGCGUGCUUAACACAUGCAAGUCGAACGAGAACGGAUUAUAGCUUGCUAUAAUUGUCAGCUAAGUGGCGCACGGGUGAGUAAUGUAUAGGUAAUAUGCCUGUUACUAAGGGAUAACAAAUGGAAACGUUUGCUAAUACCUUAUACUCCUUAUUAACAGAAGUUAAUAAGGGAAAGAUUUAUUGGUAAGAGAUUAGCCUGUAUUGUAUCAGUUAGUUAGUGGGGUAAUGGCUUACCAAGACUAUGAAACAUAACUGGUUUGAGAGGAUGAUCAGUCACACUGGAACUGAGACACGGUCCAGACUCCUACGGGAGGCAGCAGUGGGGAAUAUUGCACAAUGGACGAAAGUCUGAUGCAGCAACGCCGCGUGGAGGAUGACACAUUUCGGUGCGUAAACUCCUUUUAUAUGAGAAGAAAAUGACGGUAUUAUAUGAAUAAGCACCGGCUAACUCCGUGCCAGCAGCCGCAGUAA
RNAcentral lists this ribosomal RNA (484 nucleotides) under uncultured bacterium. Its description in RNAcentral is "partial 16S ribosomal RNA". It matches the Rfam family "Bacterial small subunit ribosomal RNA", at positions 29 to 523 of the family's 1533-position model. The record is from RNAcentral.